GAGUUUGAUCGUGGCUCAGGAUGAACGCUGGCGGCGUGCCUAAUACAUGCAAGUCGAGCGAACAGAUAAGGAGCUUGCUCCUUUGAAGUUAGCGGCGGACGGGUGAGUAACACGUGGAUAACCUACCUAUAAGACUGGGAUAACUUCGGGAAACCGGAGCUAAUACCGGAUAACAUUUAGAACCGCAUGGUUCUAAAGUGAAAGAUGGUUUGCUAUCACUUAUAGAU
RNAcentral lists this ribosomal RNA (227 nucleotides) under uncultured microorganism. RNAcentral describes it as "partial 16S ribosomal RNA". It matches the Rfam family "Bacterial small subunit ribosomal RNA", at positions 9 to 226 of the family's 1533-position model. The record is from RNAcentral.